Molecule: ribosomal RNA, 493 nt
Filed under: uncultured bacterium
Lineage: Bacteria
Description: bacterial SSU rRNA
Rfam family: Bacterial small subunit ribosomal RNA
Source: RNAcentral
AGAGUUGAUCAGUGGCUCAGGACGAACGCUGGCGGCGUGCCUAACACAUGCAAGUCGAGCGAGGAGAUUCCUCGGGAUGAUCCUAGCGGCGGACGGGUGAGUAACACGUGGGCAACCUGCCUCAUAGAGAGGAAUAGCCUUCCGAAAGGGAGAUUAAUACCUCAUAACAUUGCAGUUUCGCAUGGAACAGCAAUUAAAGGAGCAAUCCGCUAUGAGAUGGGCCCGCGGCGCAUUAGCUAGUUGGUGAGGUAACGGCUCACCAAGGCGACGAUGCGUAGCCGACCUGAGAGGGUGAUCGGCCACAUUGGGACUGAGACACGGCCCAGACUCCUACGGGAGGCAGCAGUGGGGAAUAUUGCACAAUGGGGGAAACCCUGAUGCAAGCAACGCCGCGUGAGUGAUGACGGCCUUCGGGUUGUAAAGCUCUGUCUUCAGGGACGAUAAUGACGGUACCUGAGGAGGAAGCCACGGCUAACUACGUGCCAGCAGCGGC